This 252-nucleotide ribosomal RNA is filed under the name uncultured bacterium. RNAcentral's name for it is "partial 16S ribosomal RNA". It matches the Rfam family "Bacterial small subunit ribosomal RNA", at positions 524 to 776 of the family's 1533-position model. The record is from RNAcentral.
UACGAAGGGGGCUAGCGUUGCUCGGAAUGACUGGGCGUAAAGGGCGCGUAGGCGGAUGGCACAGUCAGAUGUGAAAUUCCUGGGCUUAACCUGGGGGCUGCAUUUGAUACGUGUGAUCUAGAGUGAGGAAGAGGGUUGUGGAAUUCCCAGUGUAGAGGUGAAAUUCGUAGAUAUUGGGAAGAACACCGGUGGCGAAGGCGGCGACCUGGUCCUUAACUGACGCUGAGGCGCGAAAGCGUGGGAGCAAAUAGG